UGGGGAAUAUUGCACAAUGGGCGCAAGCCUGAUGCAGCAACGCCGCGUGAGGGACGACGGCCUUCGGGUUGUAAACCUCUUUUAGUAGGGAAGAAGCGAAAGUGACGGUACCUGCAGAAAAAGCACCGGCUAACUACGUGCCAGCAGCCGCGGUAAUACGUAGGGUGCGAGCGUUGUCCGGAAUUAUUGGGCGUAAAGAGCUCGUAGGCGGUCUGUCGCGUCUGCUGUGAAAACCCGAGGCUCAACCUCGGGCCUGCAGUGGGUACGGGCAGACUAGAGUGCGGUAGGGGAGAAUGGAAUUCCUGGUGUAGCGGUGGAAUGCGCAGAUAUCAGGAGGAACACCGAUGGCGAAGGCAGUUCUCUGGGCCGUAACUGACGCUGAGGAGCGAAAGCGUGGGGAGCGAACAGGAUUAGAUACCCUGGUAGUCCACGCCGUAAACGUUGGGCGCUAGAUGUGGGGACCAUUCCACGGUUUCCGUGUCGCAGCUAACGCAUUAAGCGCCCCGCCUGGGGAGUACGGCCGCAAGGCUAAAACUCAAAUGAAUUGACGGGGUCAUAGCUGUUUCCU
Molecule: ribosomal RNA, 568 nt
Filed under: uncultured bacterium
Lineage: Bacteria
Description: partial 16S ribosomal RNA
Rfam family: Bacterial small subunit ribosomal RNA
Source: RNAcentral